This is a small nuclear RNA of Octodon degus (degu), 126 nucleotides long. Lineage: Eukaryota; Metazoa; Chordata; Mammalia; Rodentia; Octodontidae. The record is from Ensembl.
GUGUUGUAUGAAAGGAGAGAAGGUUAGCACUCCACAUGACAAGGAUGGGAGAGGCCCGUGGGACUGACAACAUGCAUAUGGUUAAGGCAUUACCAACUACUUCAUGGCAUUUAAUCACUGUUUUUC